This 504-nucleotide long non-coding RNA is filed under the name Capsicum annuum. RNAcentral describes it as "long non-coding RNA (CANN_LNC014006)". Lineage: Eukaryota; Viridiplantae; Streptophyta; Magnoliopsida; Solanales; Solanaceae. The record is from RNAcentral.
GGAUGGAAAGGCUACAACUUAGUUUUUUCACAUGCAUUAAUUUACAAGCCAAAAAGGCAACAAAUAUAGUGAAACAGUGGAAAAAAUGUUACAAUCUGAACACUUAUGGUUCCAAGCAUUCCAUUAUCUCCAUACCGGUCAUAUCUGUGGAUUCAGAAGAUUGGAAAGGGGCAUGCAAUACAAAGACAAAAAUGAAAGUCAAUUCAUUUCAAACUUAAUACAAAGACAAAAAUGAAAGUCAAUUCAUUUCAAACUUACUCAAAAUAGUUAACAUCAUCCAGUUGACAGGAUCCCUCAACACAACAUAGCUAAAAACAAGAAAGGAGUCCCAUCCACUGGAGAACACAGCUACAUCAAAAGAGAGCAGCAAAUGAAGCGCAACUAAAGAGGAAAAAGAAAAAAAAAAUAGAGAACAAAGAAAAAUAACUCACUUCUGCAAGCUGAAAUAUCUACACAACUGAGGUAUCCAAGGUACAGAAUUGAUAACCCAAAGCAAGAGGUGAA